Molecule: RNA transcript, 1097 nt
Organism: Schistocerca piceifrons (Central American locust)
Lineage: Eukaryota; Metazoa; Arthropoda; Insecta; Orthoptera; Acrididae
Gene: Mlc1
Gene name: myosin light chain 1
Exons: 7
Source: RefSeq, a predicted model, not a curated record
GCGACUCGCGCGCCAUCUGCGAGCGCGCCGAUAAAAACUGCCGGCGGGCCCGCGCGCCACCGCACUUCUAGUCCGGACCUCAGGCUUCCCGCAGUGCAGCCCGAUCCAAACUUCUCUUCUCGCUGACGACAUGGCGGACCUGAGCGCCAGGGAUAUUGAACGGGCGAACUUCGCCUUCUCCGUCUACGACUUCGACGGAAGCGGCACCGUCGACGCCAUCUACCUGGGCGACCUCCUGCGCGCCCUCAACCUCAACCCCACCCUGGCCAUCGUCGAGAAGAUGGGCGGCACCAAGAAGAAGAACGAGAAGAAGCUGAAGAUCGAAGACUUCUUGCCCAUCUACUCGCAGGUGAAGAAGGAGAAGGAGGUGGGAUCGUACGAGGACUUCCUGGAGUGUCUCAAGCUGUACGACAAGGCGGAGGACGGCAAGAUGCUGUCGGCCGAGCUGUCCCACACACUGCUGUCGCUCGGUGAGAGACUGACAGAUGAAGAGUGUGAGUCCAUCCUGAAGGAGUGCCUGGACCCUGAGGAUGAGGACGGUUUUGUUCCCUAUGCUCCAUUCAUCAAACGGCUGAUGUCAUAGAUGGUCACCUUAGAAGUCCAAAGACUCAUUGCAUUAAGUGUAACAAAAUUUAAUGUCCAUCCUUUCCUGAAGCGCCUCAUCGCAGGACCACCAGAGGAGAAGCCGGCCGAGGCCAAGUAGAUCACAGGCGGCGCACACGUAGCGGGCCCGGCGAGCUCCAUGCGACACCCUCCAGCACCCACUGCACCAGCGAUGGCUACAGAAACGGCGGUGCUCGCCCGACUCGGCCGGGUGUCCUCUGCGCCGGGAGUGCCGACCGGCCCGGGCGGAGGCGACGGGACAGCAAAUCCGGAGGAAACUGCCAAAGAAGUGUGGACUAGAAGUCGACAAAAGUGACCGUCGUACAACAGAUAAACUGUCGAGUCAAAUAAACUGGUGUGGUCCUGCUCUUUUUUUUUUUUUUGUACAUCACUGCCUUCAAAAUUAUUGCUCUUUUGCCGGAAAACAAACUGUAAUCUGGAACACAGGAUAAGGAAAAUUGCAAUAAAGUAUGAAAUAACAGCUGUCUCUUGUA